Molecule: long non-coding RNA, 705 nt
Organism: Gasterosteus aculeatus aculeatus (three-spined stickleback)
Lineage: Eukaryota; Metazoa; Chordata; Actinopteri; Perciformes; Gasterosteidae
Source: Ensembl
GCUGCUGUCACCAUGGAAACCAUCGAUGCAUCUCUGGGUCUCAGUGAGGAAAAGACACCGGAUCACCUAGCAGAUGGAGAGACACCCAGAAGAAAAGAUGACCAUCAUGAUGAGCUCAUCAGAGACGUCCACAAAUUCAGCAGGACCUCCUGGGGAGGGGGAGGCGAGUUUCACAGGGGAGCAAGUGGAUCCACGUCAGUGCGCCGACACUGUGGAGGAACCACACUGCUGCACCUCGACCUCCUCAGUGCUGCUCACCUGAAUCAUCAACACGUUCCCGCUGGAGAGUAAAGUGAAGCCUGAGAGUCUCUGGUGCGAAGCGUCGACCUGGACUGUCUGCAUCUCUUCAAAAAAAGUGACGUGAUUUCUCUAUUGACAUUAAAACUUUAUUGACGUUUAUUCUGCAUCCAACUUUUGUUGUCAUGUGUCAUAAUAAUGCUAAUACACAACCCACAAAACCUUCUGAAACAAGUAAAAGUCCUGCAUAUCAAAUCUGACUUGAAGUUGCAACAGAACAGUCGUGUUGCGUUGAAGCGGACGGUCGCUGUGGACUGAAGAGGAAAUGUCUCAGAGCACCAGCUGGAGUCUGAGCUGAAGGAAGUUCUGGUGAACCUGCUUGAGUUUAUCUGAUAGCAGAAAGCCAUUGCAGAACGAGGAGCCUGACGAACAAAUAAGAAAAAAACUUGACAAAUGGCCUCAUGGUGG